RNAcentral lists this ribosomal RNA (157 nucleotides) under Rutstroemia bolaris. RNAcentral describes it as "5.8S ribosomal RNA". It matches the Rfam family "5.8S ribosomal RNA". Rfam says of the family: 5.8S ribosomal RNA (5.8S rRNA) is a component of the large subunit of the eukaryotic ribosome. It is transcribed by RNA polymerase I as part of the 45S precursor that also contains 18S and 28S rRNA. Functionally, it is thought that 5.8S rRNA may be involved in ribosome translocation. The record is from RNAcentral. Lineage: Eukaryota; Fungi; Ascomycota; Leotiomycetes; Helotiales; Rutstroemiaceae.
AACUUUCAACAACGGAUCUCUUGGUUCUGGCAUCGAUGAAGAACGCAGCGAAAUGCGAUAAGUAAUGUGAAUUGCAGAAUUCAGUGAAUCAUCGAAUCUUUGAACGCACAUUGCGCCCCUUGGUAUUCCGGGGGGCAUGCCUGUUCGAGCGUCAUNU